This 73-nucleotide small RNA is filed under the name Chitinibacter fontanus. RNAcentral describes it as "Xanthomonas sRNA sX9". It matches the Rfam family "Xanthomonas sRNA sX9". The record is from Rfam by way of RNAcentral. Lineage: Bacteria; Pseudomonadati; Pseudomonadota; Betaproteobacteria; Neisseriales; Chitinibacteraceae.
ACGUACUGCAUGUACGCUCCGGUUCCUGUGCUCCGGCCUCAAUGCACUAACAGCCGCUCGCUGCGUUUAAACU